CGCGGCCUAUCAGCUUGUUGGUGGGGUAACGGCCCACCAAGGCGACGACGGGUAGCCGGCCUGAGAGGGCGACCGGCCACACUGGGACUGAGACACGGCCCAGACUCCUACGGGAGGCAGCAGUGGGGAAUAUUGCACAAUGGGCGAAAGCCUGAUGCAGCGACGCCGCGUGAGGGAUGACGGCCUUCGGGUUGUAAACCUCUUUCAGCAGGGAAGAAGCGAAAGUGACGGUACCUGCAGAAGAAGCGCCGGCUAACUACGUGCCAGCAGCCGCGGUAAUACGUAGGGCGCAAGCGUUGUCCGGAAUUAUUGGGCGUAAAGAGCUCGUAGGCGGUUUGUCGCGUCUGUCGUGAAAGUCCGGGGCUCAACUCCGGAUCUGCGGUGGGUACGGGCAGACUAGAGUGAUGUAGGGGAGACUGGAAUUCCUGGUGUAGCGGUGGAAUGCGCAGAUAUCAGGAGGAACACCGAUGGCGAAGGCAGGUCUCUGGGCAUUAACUGACGCUGAGGAGCGAAAGCAUGGGGAGCGAACAGGAUUAGAUACCCUGGUAGUCCACGCCGUAAGCGUUGGGAACUAGGUGUUGGCGACAUUCCACGUCGUCGGUGCCGCAGCUAACGCAUUAAGUUCCCCGCCUGGGGAGUACGG
RNAcentral lists this ribosomal RNA (643 nucleotides) under uncultured Actinomycetes bacterium. RNAcentral describes it as "bacterial SSU rRNA". It matches the Rfam family "Bacterial small subunit ribosomal RNA", at positions 232 to 885 of the family's 1533-position model. Lineage: Bacteria; Bacillati; Actinomycetota; Actinomycetes. The record is from RNAcentral.